RNAcentral lists this unclassified non-coding RNA (203 nucleotides) under Hevea brasiliensis (rubber tree). Lineage: Eukaryota; Viridiplantae; Streptophyta; Magnoliopsida; Malpighiales; Euphorbiaceae. The record is from RNAcentral.
UAUUGCUUUGUUAAAAUCAUGGUCUCCACCUCAGAAAAAGAAGUAUCCUCUCCCCAUGACCUCAAAAACCUUUAAAAAGAAAAACAUAUGCCAAAAAGGUAGAUAAUUUUGCUACCACAGAAGGGUAUUUCCGUCCAAAAAGAAUAGAUAAUACACUUCAGAUAGAUACAGAGCAACGCAGAGAGAUGGGAGUUUGAGGAAGA